UAGGGAAUAUUAGAAAUGGACGAAAGUCUGAUCUAGCGACACCGCGUGUGCGAAGAAGGCCUUCGGGUUGUAAAGCACUUUUUGAGAGGAUGAGGAAGGACGGUACUCUCAGAAUAAGUCUCGGCUAACUACGUGCCAGCAGCCGCGGUAACACGUAGGAGGCAAACGUUAUCCGGAUUUACUGGGCGUAAAGCGCGUGUAGGUGGUUUGGUAAGUAGAGCGUGAAAGCUCCUGGCUCAACUGGGAGAGGUCGUUCUAAACUGCCGGACUAGAGGGUGGUAGAGGGAGGUGGAAUUCCGGGUGUAACGGUGGAAUGCGCAGAUAUCCGGAGGAACACUAGUGGCGAAAGCGGCCUCCUGGACCACUCCUGACACUCAGACGCGAAAGCUAGGGUAGCAAACG
This 402-nucleotide ribosomal RNA is filed under the name uncultured prokaryote. Its description in RNAcentral is "bacterial SSU rRNA". It matches the Rfam family "Bacterial small subunit ribosomal RNA", at positions 355 to 774 of the family's 1533-position model. The record is from RNAcentral.